RNAcentral lists this ribosomal RNA (483 nucleotides) under Triticum aestivum (bread wheat). Its description in RNAcentral is "partial small subunit ribosomal RNA". Lineage: Eukaryota; Viridiplantae; Streptophyta; Magnoliopsida; Poales; Poaceae. The record is from RNAcentral.
AUGGCCGCAAUUUUUCACGCAACCAUGAGGGAUGGGGUGACUGCAUCAGGCGCAGCCUCUCGCGCCAGCCUCGGGAUGCCUCGCAUGACAACCGCCGUGAAGAGGGGUGGGAUGGCCAGGGUGAUGGUGGAGGUCAUUGCCGCUCUGCUGAGCUGGGCGUGGCUGUGGGCCACUCUGUGGUGUUCUAGGGCUCUGGCUUUGCAAGUGAAGACGCGGCCCGCGUUCUCGAGUUUUUGCCCAUGUAGGCCACUCCUUUGGCGGUUGCUGGGCGCGGCUGAAGCCUUCUGCACCAGCUCUCGCCGCGCGCCGCACACCACCGCUCCCAGGAAGACCUCACACCGAUUGCCGCCCACAACCAUGCUCCCACCAUCAUCGUGCUCCGAGAGAAUCGAUGAACACCCCUCUCCGCCAUCGCAGGCUCUCCCAACCGAGGCAUUACUCCAGCUCUACUCGUCGGUCACGCUCCAAGCACCGUUGCUCUGA